Molecule: long non-coding RNA, 3300 nt
Organism: Cucurbita maxima (winter squash)
Lineage: Eukaryota; Viridiplantae; Streptophyta; Magnoliopsida; Cucurbitales; Cucurbitaceae
Exons: 2
Source: RefSeq, a predicted model, not a curated record
CCACUAGCCGCUCGUUUCAUUCACUUCGUCUUUACGGCUUUACCGAGCUCCCUUCUUCGGGGUUUAUCCUUUUCAGAUCUGAACUCUCAUCUUCAUCGCUGUUCUUCUUUUUUCACGGAUUUAUCACAGACUAAUCUCUUUUGCAGAUCCUUUCCUGUUUUUUUCUCCUUGUUUUGUGAAUUUAUUUUGAAAUGGAUGUAUUUGAGGCUUCAUAAUCUGGUCAGUGCGGAUUUGAUCUGUUCCCAUUUGACUCGUUCCCUUGAAGCAAUAUCGAUCGUGAUACUUUUUCUCAAUCUCUUCCUUUGCUUUCUCUUAUAGCGCUUGGGAGAACACUGGAGUAGCUACAUGUUCUAUAUCUUUCUGCUUUCUCUUCAUUUUGUUCUGGAAUUUCUGAUUGAAACGAUUUUUUUCUUCGUAACGGUGAUGAGCCUUUUGCAGACCUGUAAUGAUUUGCGAAUAUGAUCGCAAUAUCAUACGAACAUCUAAGGGACUGAGUUGCUUAGAUUUCUUUGACUUUUUUUAUUUCUCGGUUUGAUUUUGAUUUCGAUUCCUUUAAUUCCUAAAUCAGAGUAAAAACCCUAAUGGAAAAGCGUAAUGAGCGCUGAACACUCGAGAACGGUUAGUUACCGAUUGAUUACAUUUUCAAGAUGUAUUCCUAUUUGGUUGCGAUUAUCAAAACGGAGGCGGAGAGCAAUAUUAGUGGAAAACCCGAACUUUUCGGGGCUUCUAAUUUAACGCCAAAAUAUACUUAAAUAAAUUGAAAAAAACACAUUUUUUGCGCCUUUAUCAAAGGUAAACUAUAUCAUUUUGCAUUUAUAUUAAUCAGAUUUGAUUGAAAAGGCUUGAUAAGGGGAAUGAUCAUGGUGUAUAGAACGAUUUAAGUCGUAUUAGAGCUAAGAUGAUUAAAUCUCUCCUUAAUUUGACAUGGGAACAUUUUAUAAUCUCCUAUUCUUAAAAGAUUUAAGAUUUUCAAAUUUUAAUUUGGAACAAGAUUGAAACAAAUAGAACAAAUUUAUAACGAAGAAGAACUGCGAAACUUUACAGUAGAUUGAACGCUGCGGCUCAAACUUUGAGUGACAUCUUUGGUCAUCUUCUACUCUUCAAUUGCCUAAUUGGAGGAUGGGGCUUUGGUUCCCAAUGACCAGGUUGGCCAGCCCGAUGAUCUCUCAUGCCAUAACCUCACAUAUGCCAUAGCCUAUAUAGCCUGUUUGCUCUUCUGGGUUCUCGCCAAGCCCCCAAUUUCUCAUCGGUGAUGUACCCUUCGUCUGCCUCUUCAAUUUCGAAUUGGUCACUGAAAUCUCUAUCGUUCUUUCCAGUUCGAAAUGGGGAUGUAGUUCUGAGCUUUAAUCUCCCUUCCCAUCGUGUAGUGAAGAUCCUCGAAAAGCACGACAAGGAUUCGUCUUGAGCUUCUUCUUCUGGAUUUCUCAGAGGCAUUUUGUCAAACAUGAUAUGUGCAGACCAUGUGUAUGAUUGACGUUGGCGUAUUGCUGAAGUGAAGGGAUUGCAAAAGGAAAGGCAAUUGCAUAGAGAGCACCACGUAAACAAUGUAUAAUCUCCCUCUCAUAUGUGCACUUUGCAAAGCAAAACUCAGACAGCAAGCUCAAUGUCUGUUUAAAACAAUGCUGGAAAAGCAUUGGAAUAAUGACGAGGUUGUCUGGACAGUGGUUCACUUACUUAUUUGAACAACCAGUGUUCUCAAGCUUCCAAUAUAAUAAUGGACCUUGGUUUUAUGGGAUCCAAUAUGUCAAUCAAUUUACCUGAUGCCAUAUCCCAUCCUGAAAUGCUCUCAAAUGUAUAUGUUCAUAUGAUCAUACUCUGCAAUGUUCUCAGAUGUGCACACUGUCGAUAACCAUAUAUAUUUUGAAGCUUUUUUGCAGAAUAUGUUGAUACCCAUCAUUCAGUGGACUCAUGUGGCAAUUUGAAGCUUCUGGGAUGAAGUCAUCAUUCCCUUGGCCUAUGCUUUCCAGCAGAUGUUGAUUUGGGACAGUAAGGACAUGUUUAGCUGAUGGGUAAUCUUCCUCCUUCCUCAAUAAUUGUAUCAUUGUUAACUGUAUUAUAGUCCUCUUUCUCUUUCAUGUAUUAUAUUGAGGGGCCCUGAUUAAAGUCAUCUUUAAUGCAAAAUAUUCCUCCUGAACCUUGUCUUUUCCCUUGAUUCUCGCUUCCCCUGUCCCUCUCUACACAACCCCAUUCAAAAGCCAUGAAAAAAAUAUAUCUUUGGGGAAGGAAUUUAAAAUGUUGGAGGGUAAUUUAGAGUUACGGUGUCUAUGUGAUAUAUUUGAAGGUUUAUUUAGUGCCUUCUCUUUGUGAGUGAGUGAGGGAAGAAUAAGUUUAAUGUAUCAAUAAGUGGAAGAAAAUAAACUUAGGAUUCCCCUAGUAUGUUAUUUUUUGCUUUUCUUUUUGUCAAGAACCAAGUUUUUUUACCGCUAUAUAUAGUUUAGAAUGGAUGCUUAGAAUCAUUUAAUCUAGACAUAAUCGAUCUUGCUUGUGGAAUGACUCAAAGCUCAAUCUAUUGUUCUUGUCAUGAGAUAUUUGAUCAACGAGAUAAUUUAAAUUUUAUUUCUUUUGUAGCAAUUCCUUGUCACAAAUGCUCCAUCUUCUUUUCGGCCAUGACUGUUCUAAAUGACACAAACCAUUACCUAACCUAUUAUUCCUCAAGCUUCCUUCCAAACGCUACCAUCCAUUUUUGGUUUGGACUUGUUACAUACAUUUUCUUUCAAUCAAAACUCCUUUUCCCUAAAAUAUUCACCAACCCAACUCUCAUUAGAGCAGCCUUAGACUUUUGCCGUUUGGAUUUGCUUUCAAGGCAGCUGAUUCUCCUCUGUAUGAUAAGACCAAAACAUUCUAAUCCUAUUAUAAGUACACAUUCUCCAGCAGUUGCAGCAGCUUAAACUCGACCGUCUUCAUCAACCCUUUUGAGCGUUAUGCAGAUGGGUAGGCAUAGUGGUGAACCCACCAUGGUUGGUACCUCCAUAGCUUUGUUACAAGAAAGGUUCAGGCAGUUGCAGAAAGAGAAGGUAAGGAGGGAGAAGGAGGUUGUUAAGCUGUUAUCCGGUUCAAAUAUCUUGUCAACCUCAAGAGACUUGGCCUUCAAUUCCCUCUCACUUGGCCUGAAUUUGGCUAAUGCGGGUAAGCAAGUUGAUAGCCAUGAAGGCAGGUUGAUGCCUGGUGACACCCAGUUGAUACCCAUUACGUUCAGAAGUUUUGAUACUCCAGAUGUUGAUGUUGAUACCACCCUUCAUCUAUAGUUUAUUUGCUUGCUUUUCUCCCUACUUGAGAAUGAAUAGUGUGUAUGAACUGAUA